AACGAACGCUGGCGGCAUGCCUAACACAUGCAAGUCGAACGAGACCUUCGGGUCUAGUGGCGCUGGGGUGCGUAACGCCUGGUAACCUACCCUUAGGUACGGAAUAACUCACUGUAAGGGAUGCUAAUACAGGAUAAUCUAAUCGCACCAAAGAUUUAUCGCCUUUGGAUGGGGGCGCGUUGGAUUAGCCGGUUGGUAGGGUAAAAGCCUGCCAUGGCGACGAUCCAUAGCUGGUCUGAUAGGAUGAUCAGCCGGACUGGCACUGAGACACGGCCCAGACUCCUACGGGAGGCAGCAGUAGGGAAUAUAGUACAAUGGGCGAAAGCCUGAUCCAGCAAUGCCGCGCGAGUGAUGAAGGCCUUAGGGUUGUAAAGCUGUUUUACACGGGAUGAUAAUGACAGUACCGAGAGAAUAAGCUCCGGCUAACUCCGUG
RNAcentral lists this ribosomal RNA (433 nucleotides) under uncultured bacterium. RNAcentral describes it as "partial 16S ribosomal RNA". It matches the Rfam family "Bacterial small subunit ribosomal RNA", at positions 29 to 507 of the family's 1533-position model. The record is from RNAcentral.